This 1426-nucleotide long non-coding RNA is filed under the name Pongo abelii (Sumatran orangutan). Its description in RNAcentral is "lincRNA". The record is from RNAcentral. Lineage: Eukaryota; Metazoa; Chordata; Mammalia; Primates; Hominidae.
GACUGCGCGGCGGCGAUUACAGACAUUUCGGGGGUCCGGGGCCUGUCGCGACUGCUAAGCGCUCGGCGCCUGGCGCUGGCCAAGGCGUGGCCAACAGUGUUGCAAACAGGAACCCGAGGUUUUCACUUCACUGUUGAAGGAACACGAGGGCAUCUGCUAAAGUUUCAGAUUCCAUUUCUGCUCAGUAUCCAGUAGUGGAUCAUGAAUUUGAUGCAGCGGUGGUAGGCGCUGGAGGGGCAGGCUUGCGAGCUGCAUUUGGCCUUUCUGAGGCAGGGUUUAAUACGGCAUGUGUUACAAAGCUGUUUCCUACCAGGUCACACACUGUUGCAGCGCAGCUAGAAAAUUAUGGCAUGCCGUUUAACAGCACUGAAGAUGGGAAGAUUUAUCAGCAUGCAUUUGGUGGACAGAGCCUCAGGUUUGGAAAGGGCGGGCAGGCCCAUCGGUGCUGCUGUUUGGCUGAUCGGACCGGCCACUCAAUAUUGCACACCUUAUAUGGGAGGUCUCUUUGAUGUGAUACCAGCUGUUUUGUGGAGUAUUUUGCCUUGGAUCUCCUGAUGGAGAAUGGGGAGUGAUGUGGUGUCAUCGCACUGUGCAUAGAGGACGGGUCCAUCCAUCGCAUAAGAGCAAAGAACACUGUUGUUGCCACAGGGCUGCGGGUGCACCUGCUUCAGCUGCACAUCUGCCCACACCAGCAGCGGCGAUGGCACGGCCAUGAUCACCAGGGAAGGCCUUCCUUGCCAGGACCUCGAGUUUGUUCAGUUCCACCCCACAGGUACAUAUGGUGCUGGUUGUCUCAUUACGGAAGGAUGUCAUGGAGAGGGAGGCAUUCUGAUUAACAGUCAAGGUGAAAGGUUUAUGGAGCGAUACGCCCCCGUCGCGAAGGACCUGGCGUCUAGAGUUGUGGUGUGUCGGUCGAUGACUGGAGAUCCGCGAAGGAAGGUGGGUGUGAUUUACCACCAGCAUUGUCUGAGUGGGCACACGGGCCGGGGUUGCUUCUGUGAGUUUCAGCACCGCUCGCCCUCACCUUCGGGUGCAGGCACACGUGCACAGCCACCUCUCUCAGCUGCAGGCAGGUGUCUGUUAGUCUGUGAUAUUUUCCCAAAGACCUACAUUUUGAAAAUUGUAGCCAGUUUCUUUCUCAAAUCUGUGGAACAGAGUUUCUCUUAGUGUGUGUGAGUAUGUGACGGAGUAUGGGAGAGAGAGACACACACCCAACCUGAAGUCGGUGUGUGAGCCUUGGGUGUUGUGUCUGAUACCCACAGAUGUUUUUCAGCAGCUUUCAAAGUGUGCGGGUUAUUUGGCUUUCAGUAAAACAAUUUACAGUUCUUUCAUUGCCUGACCCUGUUCUUUAAUGUAAUGACACUUACUAAAUAUCUGCUGAUAUGGGCUUUAGAGGUUUUACAUUUUUAUAUUUAAAAAAAAAAAA